UGGGGAAUAUUGGACAAUGGGCGGAAGCCUGAUCCAGCAACGCCGCGUGAGGGAUGACGGCCUUCGGGUUGUAAACCUCUUUCAGUACCGACGAAGCGAAAGUGACGGUAGGUACAGAAGAAGGACCGGCCAACUACGUGCCAGCAGCCGCGGUAAUACGUAGGGUCCGAGCGUUGUCCGGAAUUAUUGGGCGUAAAGGGCUCGUAGGCGGUUUGUCGCGUCGGGAGUGAAAACAGCGGGCUUAACUCGUUGCUUGCUUUCGAUACGGGGCAGACUAGAGGGUAUGCAGGGGAGAAUGGAAUUCCUGGUGUAGCGGUGAAAUGCGCAGAUAUCAGGAGGAACACCGGUGGGCGAAGGGCGGUUCUCUGGGCAUUACCUGACGCUGAGGAGCGAAAGUGUGGGGGAGCGAACAGGAUUNGAUAACCC
This 426-nucleotide ribosomal RNA is filed under the name uncultured bacterium. RNAcentral's name for it is "partial 16S ribosomal RNA". It matches the Rfam family "Bacterial small subunit ribosomal RNA", at positions 355 to 788 of the family's 1533-position model. The record is from RNAcentral.